Molecule: unclassified non-coding RNA, 353 nt
Filed under: soil metagenome
Description: partial contains 5.8S ribosomal RNA, internal transcribed spacer 2, and large subunit ribosomal RNA
Rfam family: 5.8S ribosomal RNA (bases 1-120)
Source: RNAcentral
GAUGAAGAACGUAGCGAAAUGCGAUAAGUAAUGUGAAUUGCAGAAUUCAGUGAAUCAUCGAAUCUUUGAACGCACAUUGCGCCCGCCAGUAUUCUGGCGGGCAUGCCUGUUCGAGCGUCAUUUCAACCCUCAGGCCCCCAGUGCCUGGCGUUGGGGAUCGGCGCGGCGCCCUCCGGGGCGCUGCCGGCCCCGAAAUUCAGUGGCGGUCUCGCUGUAGCCCUCCUCCGCGUAGUAGCACAACCUCGCGGCCUGGAGCUCGGCGGUGGCCAUGCCGUAAAACACCCCACUUCUGAAAGUUGACCUCGGAUCAGGUAGGAAUACCCGCUGAACUUAAGCAUAUCAAAAGCGGAGGA